This 617-nucleotide ribosomal RNA is filed under the name Digenea sp. virgulate xiphidiocercaria 4 DB-2022. RNAcentral's name for it is "partial large subunit ribosomal RNA". The record is from RNAcentral. Lineage: Eukaryota; Metazoa; Platyhelminthes; Trematoda.
AAAGUUGAAAAGUACUUUGAAGAGAGAGUAAACAGUGCGUGAAACCGAUCAGAGGUAAACGGAUGGAGUUGAACUGCAAGCUCUGGGAAUUCAACUGGUGAGUGUGGUUUGAGCUUGGUCAAGUCGGUUGGGCCCUGAAGUCUGCGUAGCAGCAGGCCUUCGCCUCUCGGGGUGGGGGUGCGCGAUGCACUUAUCAAGUGUUGUGCGCUUCGGGUGUUCAUCGGGCCGACUCGCCAGUGCACUUUCUCAGAGUGGUCAUCACGACCGGCACCGCUGUCUGGCUGUUGUGGUUAAACCUUUCUCGCAUUGUCCCUGUGGCUCUGCUUGAUCGGGAUGGCAGGUAGCUCGUUGACUUGCUUGUGGCUCUGUCGCAGGCGCUGGGUCAUUGAGUGUAAUCAGCUGACCACAUUGGUUCUGUGCAGUGUGUCGGAGACGGCGGCUUUUGUGUGUGCGUGCGUGCCUGUCUGGCCGAGGAGUUCGAGUUUGGUUGUUAUGUUGCUUGUUCACGCAGGCCUGACAAUGGCUCGGAUUUUUUCGGUUGGCGGUUGCGUACGUGGCACAGUUCAUGGGCCAAUAGUCUGUGAUGUAGUGGUAGACUAUCCAUCUGACCCGUCUUG